This 668-nucleotide long non-coding RNA is filed under the name Dromaius novaehollandiae (emu). Its description in RNAcentral is "lncRNA (ENSDNVG00000018912.1)". Lineage: Eukaryota; Metazoa; Chordata; Aves; Casuariiformes; Dromaiidae. The record is from RNAcentral.
GAGGGUCUUGCAUUUGCCCUACUGGUUUUUCCACACAGGUGCCUCUGACAGCCUCCUCCACUUUCUCAACAGGGCCCCCCCGGCUCCGUGGGUAUACCAGGUCCAACUGGCCCUCCAGGGCCCCCAGGUUUAACUGGACCUCCUGGUCCACCAGGGCUGCCAGGACCUAAGGUAUUUCUUUUCCCCUUAUUGAUGAUGGUGGUUGGUUUUGCUUUGUUUUUCGUUCUGUUGAUUUGUGGCUUCUAAGUGCUGAUGACUUUUACUUUUUGCAGGGUAAUAUGGGUUUGAAUUUCCAAGGACCCAAAGGUGAAAAAGGUGAACAGGGUCUUCAGGGACCUCCAGGGCCACCAGGACAAAUUGGAGAACAGAAGAGACCAAAUGACAUUGAAUUUCAGAAAGGAGAUCAGGGUAUUCCAGGUGAUCCAGGCCCACCAGGACUUCCUGGGCCACAAGGCCCUCCUGGUCUUCCCGGUGGCGUAAAAGGUGAAAAAGGUGAGCAAGGAGAACCAGGCAAAAGAGGAAAGCCUGGCAAAGAUGGAGAUCCUGGUCAGCCUGGUCUAGAUGUGAGUAUCUCAUAUGUUUCUCACCUAAGCAGACUCCUUAAAGGUUUUUCUCCUGAUAUGGAGAAGAUCUGAAUGUGAUUUUCUUUCUUUUUUCUUGAAGGGUUU